CGAAAGCCUGACGGAGCAACGCCGCGUGAGGGAUGGAGGCCUUUGGGCUGUAAACCUCUUUUCUCAAGGAAGAAGAUCUGACGGUACUUGAGGAAUAAGCCACGGCUAAUUCCGUGCCAGCAGCCGCGGUAAUACGGGAGUGGCAAGCGUUAUCCGGAAUUAUUGGGCGUAAAGCGUCCGCAGGCGGCCGUUUAAGUCUGUUGUUAAAUCGUGGAGCUCAACUCCAUCACGGCAAUGGAAACUGUUCGGCUUGAGUAUGGUAGGGGCAGAGGGAAUUUCCGGUGUAGCGGUGAAAUGCGUAGAUAUCGGGAAGAACACCAGUGGCGAAAGCGCUCUGCUGGGCCAUUACUGACGCUCAUGGACGAAAGCCAGGGGAGCGAAAGGGAUUAGAUGCCCCUGUAGUCCUGGCCGUAAACGAUGAACACUAGAUGUUGGGGGAAUCGACCCCCUCGGUGUCGUAGCUAACGCGUUAAGUGUUCCGCCUGGGGAGUACGCACGCAAGUGUGAAACUCAAAGGAAUUGACGGGGGCCCGCACAAGCGGUGGAGUAUGUGGUUUAAUUCGAUGCAACGCGAAGAACCUUACCAAGGCUUGACAUCCUGCGAAUCUCUAAGAAAUUAGAGAGUGCCUUCGGGAACGCAGUGACAGGUGGUGCAUGGCUGUCGUCAGCUCGUGUCGUGAGAUGUUGGGUUAAGUCCCGCAACGAGCGCAACCCACGUUUUUAGUUGCCAGCAUUCAGUUGGGCACUCUAGAAAGACUGCCGGUGACAAACCGGAGGAAGGUGUGGACGACGUCAAGUCAUCAUGCCCCUUACGCCUUGGGCUACACACGUACUACAAUGCUGCGGACAAAGAGUAGCGAUCUUGCGAAAGUUAGCUAAUCUCACAAACCGUGGCUCAGUUCAGAUCGUAGGCUGCAACUCGCCUACGUGAAGGAGGAAUCGCUAGUAAUCGCAGGUCAGCAUACUGCGGUGAAUACGUUCCCGGGCCUUGUACACACCGCCCGUCACACCAUGGAAGUUGGCCAUGCCCGAAGUCGUUACUCUAACCUUUUGGAAGAGGGCGCCGAAGGCAGGGCUAAUGACUGGGGUGAAGUCGUAACAAGGUAGCCGUAGCGGAAGCUGCGGCUGGAUCACCUCCUAA
RNAcentral lists this ribosomal RNA (1141 nucleotides) under Candidatus Synechococcus spongiarum. RNAcentral describes it as "bacterial SSU rRNA". It matches the Rfam family "Bacterial small subunit ribosomal RNA", at positions 376 to 1533 of the family's 1533-position model. Lineage: Bacteria; Bacillati; Cyanobacteriota; Cyanophyceae; Synechococcales; Synechococcaceae. The record is from RNAcentral.